GCCUAGAUGGCGGAAUGGCAGACGCAGUAGACUCAAAAUCUACCGAUGAAUAAUCAUAAGGGUUCAAGUCCCUUUCUAGGCACCA
Molecule: transfer RNA, 85 nt
Filed under: Candidatus Ureaplasma intestinipullorum
Lineage: Bacteria; Bacillati; Mycoplasmatota; Mycoplasmoidales; Mycoplasmoidaceae
Description: tRNA-Leu
Rfam family: tRNA
About the family: Transfer RNA (tRNA) molecules are approximately 80 nucleotides in length. Their secondary structure includes four short double-helical elements and three loops (D, anti-codon, and T loops).
Source: RNAcentral